AAUCAACGCUGGCGGCGUGCCUAACACAUGCAAGUCGAGCGCGAAAGGGGAGCAAUCCCCAAGUAGAGCGGCGGACGGGUGAGUAACACGUGGGUAACCUACCCUCGGGUGGGAAUAACUCAGGGAAACUUGAGCUAAUUCCGCAUAACAUCCCGGGCUCAUAAGAGUCCGGAAUCAAAGCUGGGGACCCUUCGGGGCCUGGCGUCUGAGGAGGGGCCCGCGGCCGAUCAGCUAGUUGGCGAGGUAACGGCUCACCAAGGCGACGAUCGGUAGCCGGCCUGAGAGGGCGGACGGCCACACUGGAACUGAGACACGGUCCAGACUCCUACGGGAGGCAGCAGUGGGGAAUCUUUGGCAAUGGGGGCAACCCUGACCAAGCAACGCCGCGUGGAGGACGAAGGCCCUCGGGUCGUAAACU
RNAcentral lists this ribosomal RNA (418 nucleotides) under uncultured bacterium. Its description in RNAcentral is "bacterial SSU rRNA". It matches the Rfam family "Bacterial small subunit ribosomal RNA", at positions 29 to 431 of the family's 1533-position model. The record is from RNAcentral.